RNAcentral lists this unclassified non-coding RNA (376 nucleotides) under uncultured bacterium. RNAcentral describes it as "contains 16S-23S intergenic spacer region". The record is from RNAcentral.
UCCGGUUUGUCACCGGCAGUCUGGCGUGAGUCCCCAACUUAAUGCUGGCAACACGCCACGGGGGUUGCGCUCGUUGCGGGACUUAACCCAACACCUCACGGCACGAGCUGACGACAGCCAUGCAGCACCUGUGCUAGCUCCCCGAAGGGUCCCUCACCUUUCGGAUCGGUACCACUAGCAUGUCAAGCCUUGGUAAGGUUCUUCGCGUUGCGACGAAUUAAACCACAUGCUCCACCGCUUGUGCGGGCCCCCGUCAAUUCCCUUGAGUUUCAGUCUUGCGACCGUACUCCCCAGGCGGGAUGCUUAAAGCGUUAGCGGCGCCACCGAAGAGCAAGCUCCCCGACGGCUAGCAUCCAUCGUUUACGGCGUGGACUAC